CCGAAGUUAAGCGCAUCUCCAUAACAUGGUGAACGUUACCUAUACCGUUGCUUCGGCGGGGGGCCCCGGGGUUUACCCCCCGGGCGCCCCGGGGCCCCACCGCGGGCGCCCGCCGGAGGUCACCAAACUCUUGAUAAUUUAUGGCCUCUCUGAGUCUUCUGUACUGAAUAAGUCAAAACUUUCAACAACGGAUCUCUUGGUUCUGGCAUCGAUGAAGAACGCAGCGAAAUGCGAUAAGUAAUGUGAAUUGCAGAAUUCAGUGAAUCAUCGAAUCUUUGAACGCACAUUGCGCCCGCCAGCAUUCUGGCGGGCAUGCCUGUUCGAGCGUCAUUUCAACCAUCAAGCCCCCGGGCUUGUGUUGGGGACCUGCGGCUGCCGCAGGCCCUGAAAAGCAGUGGCGGGCUCGCUGUCGCACCGAGCGUAGUAGCAUACAUCUCGCUCUGGUCGCGCCGCGGGUUCCGGCCGUUAAACCACCUUUUUAACCCAAGGUUGACCUCGGAUCAGGUAGGAAGACCCGCUGAACUUAAGCAUAUCAAUAAGCCGGAGGAA
This 549-nucleotide ribosomal RNA is filed under the name Chaetomium globosum. Its description in RNAcentral is "eukaryotic LSU rRNA". The stretch from base 177 to 330 matches the Rfam family "5.8S ribosomal RNA". Lineage: Eukaryota; Fungi; Ascomycota; Sordariomycetes; Sordariales; Chaetomiaceae. The record is from RNAcentral.